RNA transcript from Zea mays, 2390 nucleotides. RefSeq lists it as uncharacterized. Lineage: Eukaryota; Viridiplantae; Streptophyta; Magnoliopsida; Poales; Poaceae. The record is from RefSeq and is marked validated. The transcript has 6 exons.
GCAUUGGAUGUUGGAGAGGAAACUAGCAGAUGCAGAUGUAUCUGAAGAAGAGCAAAACAAUAUACUGAAAGAUUUAGAAAAAAAGGAGGCGGAAUACAUGCGCCUACGAAGGCAUAAAAUGGGCGUUGAUGACUUUGAAUUGCUCACCAUUAUUGGGAGAGGUGCAUUUGGGGAGGUGAGACUUUGUAGAGAAAAAACUACAUCCAAUGUGUAUGCAAUGAAAAAGCUUAAGAAGUCUAAAAUGUUACGAAGAGGGCAGGUAUUCCAUGAUGUUUACUCCUGCCAGGAGACUAUGUAUCCCUCCAAAAAAAAGUUGUCACCGUUUUAUUGUUUUGCUUCCAUGUACUAUUUAGCUUCCAGAGAUGCAUGUAUAUAUAUAUCUCAAGAACUGCUACUAGAGCACUAAAAUGUUGAAAACAAUUAUUAUGGUGGUGGACAUAAUACAUCUAAAGACAUGUUCAUCUAUUAUCAUUGUUCACAUAUUUUCCAAAAAUAGUAUUUACUACUUUCAAAUUCAUCUAACCAUACAGUCUGAUUAUAUCCCUUCUAGAUGAAAAAAAUUCUAACAUUCGUAGAGAUUUCCUGCAUGUCAUGAUUCUGAAUGCUUCCUCUUCUAUCUCCUCCAGCAUAUAUAUUUGGAGCCAUUCUGCCUGCUUUUAUGGUCGCAGGACUUUACUUCUUUGAUCACAGCGUAGAUUCACAGUUGGCACAGCAAAAAGAGUAUAAUUUGAAGAAGCCUUCUGCCUACCACUAUAACAUUUUGGUCCUUGGAUUCGUGGUAUGUGGCACAUGAGUCUGUCAUACAAAUUGUUUAUUUAGAGUGUUCAUUUGGUUGUAAGUUUAACCUCAGUUUCUUGGGAUCUCAAUCACAUUCGUCAGACCAAGUGUGACAAUCUGUUUGUCUUCCAACUAUAGUAGAAAUGAUACAGAUGCUUGGUCUGUGUUUUUAGUUCAGAUAUUAUGGCUGUUAGUUAGUUUCUUUUCUCACGAUAUUAAAUGCCAGUCCUACUCUGCGGUUUGCUUGGUAUCCCUCCAUCUAAUGGAGUGCUUCAUCAGUCUCCCAUGCACACAAAAAGUCUUGUUGUCCUUAAGAGGCAAGUUGGUGAAAUUCAAAUCGAUUCAUGUGGUUUGCUAACCUAAACAGCUUUCUUCAUACAUUUACAUCUCUUAAGUUCAGUUGCUAAGCAAAAAGAUGGUUGAUACUGCCAAGGAGAGCAUAGGAGGAAGUGCUACCAGUUUGGAAUUAUAUGGCAAGAUGGAAGAAGUUUUCAUCAAAAUGGAUAGCGAAGAGAAUAUUGAUUCUGUUGACAGGGAGUUGAAGAACUUCAAUGAUGCUGUUCUGCAAGAAGGCAACGAAGAAGGGAGAUUGGCUAGAGAAUUUGACUCUCGCAAACAUAUAGAAGCCCACUUGCCUGUUCGAGUGAACGAAUAGAGACUGAGCAAUCUGCUGCAGUCCAUACUGGUUGGUGGGUGUGUUGGAGCUAUGCCAGUCAUCAAGAUGAUACCCACAUCGGUCCUCCAGGGUUACUUUGCCUACAUGGCCAUUGAUAGUCUACCAGGGAAUCAGUUCUGGGAGAGGAUACAACUUCUGUUCAUUACAGAAAGACGACACUACAAGGUUCUUGAAGGUCCCCAUGCAUCGUUUGUGAGGUUGAUAUAAGCUUUUACUGUAGUACACAAUCAUGAAACUCUUUUAUCUUUGAGAGGUUGAUAUAAGCUUUUACUGUAGUACACAAUCAGUUAGUGACCUAAAUAAUGAUCUUAUUCAACUAACUUUAUCUUAUUUUGUAGCCUUGUGCUUCUUUCUACUGAGUUGUCUUGUACCAACUAAAAAUAGAGGUAUUUCAUCUCAGGUUCUCUACUAUGUGUAAUCUCAUAUCAAGAUUAAUGAGUAUCGUGAUCAUAUAACUUUGGUGAGUAUCCAUGGAAUGCCCAGAAUCUUAUCAACCCAUAUGGCAAGGCAAAGGAAAUGACAGUGGACAUCAUCCUAGAUUUUACAAAAUCAAAGGAGCAACCAGACAUGGCUGUCAUGAUCUAAGAUACUUCAACAUGAUUGGAUCGAACCCAGACAUAUGACUAGGAGAAGCUCCAAGGCCACUUUGUCAAGGGUCUCUGCAAUGCACUUACUGGUGCAUGAUUUACUGGAGGUUGUGUGCAUGAAUGUGCCACGCAUUGGUAUGGGGGUUGGAGUUGAAGCAGGUAAAUUUCACCAACAUUGGUAUGUGAACUGGAGUUGAAGCAGGUUAUUCAUUUGAUGAAAGUGUGCGUAUAAUCUUAACCUAGCAAAUGCUGAACAUGUGAGUCUGAAAUUAGUGAGUGUGAACCUGUGAUUUAGUCUGAAAACUGAGAUUGACAGCCUUUUGCAAAUGAUGAAGCUGUUAAUAUGAACC